CUACUACUCCCUCCGUCCAGUAUUAAGUGUCGCAACUUUGUCUAGAUACACAUGUACCUAAAGUUAAAACACGUCUAGAUGCAUGCGUACCUAGACAAACUUGCGACACUUAAUGCCGGACGGAGGGAGUAAUAU
Brachypodium distachyon (stiff brome) is the source of this 135-nucleotide non-coding RNA. The record is from Rfam. NCBI's taxonomy places the organism in Eukaryota, Viridiplantae, Streptophyta, Magnoliopsida, Poales, Poaceae.